GACCAAGGAGUCUAACAUGUGCGCAAGUCAUUGGGUGAUAAAACCCAAAGGCAUAACGAAAGUAAAGAAAGCUUUGCUUUAUUAGGGAGGAUAGUUAUAUAACACAUACUGUUAAUAGCUCGCACUCCCAGGGCGUUUGUUACUCAUUGCGAGUAAAAGCGCACCUAGAGCGUACACGUUGGGACCCGAAAGAUGGUGAACUAUGCCUGGCCAGGAUGAAGCCAGGGGAAACCCUGGUGGAGGUCCGUAGCGAUUCUGACGUGCAAAUCGAUCGUCAGAGCUUGGUAUAGGUGCGAAAGACUUAUCGAACUAUCUAGUAGCUGGUUCCUUCCGAAGUUUCCCUCAGGAUAGCUGGUGCCAGUGAUGAGACGAGUCUCAUCCGGUAAAGCGAAUGAUUAGAGGCCUUGGGGCCGAAACGACCUCAACCUAUUCUCAAACUUUAAAUGGAUGAGAGCCUUAGCUUGCUUAAAAGUGAAGCUAGGGACUUGGAUCAAGGUGUCAAGUGGGCCAAUUAAGGUAAGCAG
Molecule: ribosomal RNA, 524 nt
Filed under: Kokeshia sp. 2 AK-2015
Lineage: Eukaryota; Metazoa; Arthropoda; Insecta; Hemiptera; Schizopteridae
Description: eukaryotic LSU rRNA
Rfam family: Eukaryotic large subunit ribosomal RNA
Source: RNAcentral